CCCUGUAUACCUGUGCCACUUUGUGCCUUAAGGAACAAGCUUGCUCAGCGUUUUCAUUUUUCAGUGCUUCUGAGGCUCCCCAGUGUUUCUGGAUGACAUCAUGGAUCAGCCCAGCUGUCAACAAUUCAGACUUCUGGACCUACAGGAAAAACAUGACCAGGGUAGCAUCUCUUUUUAGUGGUCAGGCUGUGGCUGGGAGUGACUAUGAGCCUGUGACAAGGCAAUGGGCCAUAAUGCAGGAAGGUGAUGAAUUCGCAAAUCUCACAGUGUCUAUUCUUCCUGAUGAUUUCCCAGAGAUGGAUGAGAGUUUUCUAAUUUCUCUCCUUGAAGUUCACCUCAUGAACAUUUCAGCCAGUUUGAAAAAUCAGCCAACCAUAGGACAGCCAAAUAUUUCUACAGUUGUCAUAGCACUAAAUGGUGAUGCCUUUGGAGUGUUUGUGAUCUACAGUAUUAGUCCCAAUACUUCCGAAGAUGGCUUAUUUGUUGAAGUUCAGGAGCAGCCCCAAACCUUGGUGGAGCUGACGAUACACAGGACAGGGGGCAGCUUAGGUCAAGUGGCAGUCGAAUGGCGUGUUGUUGGUGGAACAGCUACUGAAGGUUUAGAUUUUAUAGGUGCUGGAGAGAUUCUGACCUUUGCUGAAGGUGAAACCAAAAAGACAAUCAUUUUAACCAUCUUGGAUGACUCUGAACCAGAGGAUGACGAAAGUAUCAUAGUUAGUUUGGUGUACACUGAAGGUGGAAGUAGAAUUUUGCCAAGCUCCGACACUGUUAGAGUGAACAUUUUGGCCAAUGACAAUGUGGCAGGAAUUGUUAGCUUUCAGACAGCUUCCAGAUCUGUCAUAGGUCAUGAAGGAGAAAUUUUACAAUUCCAUGUGAUAAGAACUUUCCCUGGUCGAGGAAAUGUUACUGUUAACUGGAAAAUUAUUGGGCAAAAUCUAGAACUCAAUUUUGCUAACUUUAGUGGACAACUCUUCUUUCCUGAGGGGUCGUUGAAUACAACGUUGUUUGUGCAUUUGUUGGAUGACAACAUUCCUGAGGAGAAAGAAGUAUACCAAGUCAUUCUGUAUGAUGUCAGGACACAAGGAGUUCCACCAGCCGGAAUCGCCCUGCUUGAUGCUCAAGGAUAUGCAGCUGUCCUCACGGUAGAAGCCAGUGAUGAACCACAUGGAGUUUUAAAUUUUGCUCUUUCAUCAAGAUUUGUGUUACUACAAGAGGCUAACAUAACAAUUCAGCUUUUCAUCAACAGAGAAUUUGGAUCUCUAGGAGCUAUCAAUGUCACAUAUACCACGGUUCCUGGAAUGCUGAGUCUGAAGAACCAAACAGUAGGAAACCUAGCAGAGCCAGAAGUUGAUUUUGUCCCUAUCAUUGGCUUUCUGAUUUUAGAAGAAGGGGAAACAGCAGCAGCCAUCAACAUUACCAUUCUUGAGGAUGAUAUACCAGAGCUAGAAGAAUAUUUCCUGGUGAAUUUAACUUACGUUGAACUUACCAUGGCUGCUUCAACUUCAUUUCCUCCCAGACUAGAUUCAGAAGGUUUGACUGCACAAGUUAUUAUUGAUGCCAAUGAUGGGGCCCGAGGUGUAAUUGAAUGGCAACAAAGCAGGUUUGAAGUAAAUGAAACCCAUGGAAGUUUAACAUUGGUAGCCCAGAGGAGCAGAGAACCUCUUGGCCAUGUUUCCUUAUUUGUGUAUGCUCAGAAUUUGGAAGCACAAGUGGGGCUGGAUUAUAUCUUCACCCCAAUGAUUCUUCAUUUUGCUGAUGGAGAAAGGUAUAAAAAUGUCAAUAUCAUGAUUCUUGAUGAUGAUAUUCCAGAAGGAGAUGAAAAAUUUCAGCUGAUUUUAACAAAUCCUUCUCCUGGACUAGAGCUAGGGAAAAAUACAAUAGCCUUAAUUAUUGUCCUUGCUAAUGAUGACGGCCCUGGAGUUCUAUCAUUUAACAACAGUGAGCACUUUUUCCUAAGAGAGCCAACAGCUCUCUACGUCCAGGAGGGUGUUGCAGUAUUGUACAUUGUUCGGGAACCUGCACAAGGAUUGUUUGGAACAGUGACAGUUCAGUUCAUUGUGACAGAAGUGAAUUCCUCAAAUGAAUCUAAAGAUCUGACUCCUUCCAAAGGCUAUAUUGUUUUAGAAGAAGGUGUUCGAUUCAAGGCCCUACAAAUAUCUGCCAUAUUAGACACGGAACCAGAAAUGGAUGAGUAUUUUGUUUGCACCUUGUUUAAUCCAACUGGAGGUGCUAGACUAGGGGCGCAUGUUCAAACCCUGAUAACAGUUUUGCAAAACCAGGCCCCUUUGGGGCUAUUCAGUAUCUCUGCAGUUGAAAAUAGAGCCACCUCCAUAGACAUCGAAGAAGCCAAUAGGACCGUGUAUUUAAAUGUAUCUCGAACUAAUGGCAUUGAUUUGGCUGUGAGUGUGCAGUGGGAGACAGUAUCUGAAACAGCCUUUGGCAUGAGGGGAAUGGAUGUUGUGUUUUCCGUAUUUCAAAGUUUUUUGGAUGAAUCAGCUUCUGGCUGGUGUUUCUUUACUUUGGAAAAUUUAAUAUAUGGUAUAAUGUUAAGAAAAUCAUCUGUUACUGUUUACCGAUGGCAGGGGAUUUUUAUUCCAGUUGAGGAUUUAAAUAUAGAAAAUCCUAAAACUUGUGAGGCCUUUAAUAUUGGUUUUUCUCCCUACUUUGUGAUUACUCAUGAAGAAAGAAAUGAAGAAAAGCCUUCUCUUAACAGUGUGUUUACAUUCACAUCUGGAUUUAAAUUAUUCCUGGUACAAACAAUCAUUAUUCUGGAAAGUUCUCAAGUAAGAUAUUUUACUUCAGACAGCCAAGAUUAUUUAAUCAUUGCAAGUCAAAGAGAUGAUUCCGAAUUAACUCAGGUCUUCAGGUGGAAUGGAGGAAGCUUCGUGUUGCAUCAAAAACUCCCUGUCCGAGGUGUGCUGACCGUGGCCUUGUUCAACAAGGGAGGCUCUGUGUUCUUAGCCAUUUCCCAGGCUAAUGCCAGGCUAAACUCCCUUUUAUUCAGAUGGUCUGGCAGUGGGUUUAUUAACUUUCAAGAGGUGCCUGUCAGUGGGACAACAGAAGUUGAGGCUUUGUCUUCAGCCAAUGAUAUUUACCUAAUAUUUGCCAAAAAUGUCUUUCUAGGAGAUCAGAAUUCAAUUGAUAUUUUCAUCUGGGAGAUGGGACAGUCUUCCUUCAGGUAUUUUCAGUCCCUAGAUUUUGCUGCUGUUAACAGAAUCCACUCCUUCACACCAGCCUCAGGAAUAGCCCACAUACUUCUUAUUGGCCAAGAUAUGUCUGCUGUUUACUGCUGGAAUUCGGAGCUUAAUCACUUCUCUUUUGUUCUGGAAGUACCUUCUGCUUAUGAUGUGGCUUCUGUUACAGUAAAGUCCCUUAAUUCAAGCAAGAAUUUAAUAGCUCUAGUGGGAACUCGUUCACAUAUAUAUGAGCUAGCCUACAUUUCCAGCCAUUCUGACUUUAUUCCUGGUUCAGGUGAACUGAUAUUUGAACCUGGUGACAGAGAAGCUACAAUAGCAGUAAAUAUCCUUGAUGAUACAGUUCCAGAAAAAGAAGAAUCCUUCAAAGUUCAACUUAAAAAUCCCAAAGGAGGAGCAGAGAUUGGCAUUAAUGAUUCUGUAACAAUAACCAUUCUGUCUAAUGAUGAUGCCUAUGGAAUUGUUGCAUUUGCUCAGAAUUCAUUAUAUAAGCAAGUGGAAGAAAUGGAGCAAGAUAGCCUAGUAACCUUGAACGUUGAACGCUUAAAAGGAACAUAUGGCCGUAUAACCAUAGCAUGGGAAGCUGAUGGAAGUAUUAGUGAUAUAUUUCCUACCUCAGGAGUGAUUUCAUUUACUGAAGGCCAGGUACUGUCAACAAUCACUCUAACUAUUCUUGCUGAUAAUAUACCAGAGUUAUCAGAGGUUGUGAUUGUAACCCUCACCCGUAUCACCACAGAAGGGGUUGAGGACUCAUACGAAGGUGCUACUAUUGAUCAGGACAGAAGCAAGUCUGUUAUAACAACUUUGCCCAAUGACUCACCUUUUGGCUUGGUGGGCUGGCAUGCUGCGUCUGUCUUCAUUAGAGUAGCAGAGCCUAAAGAAAACACCACCACUCUUCAGUUACAACUAGCUCGAGAUAAAGGACUACUUGGGGAUAUUGCCAUUCACUUGAGAGCUCAACCCAAUUUCUUACUGCAUGUCGAUAAUCAAGCUACUGAGAAUGAAGAUUAUGUAUUGCAAGAAACAAUAAUAAUAAUGAAAGAAAACAUAAAAGAAGCUCAUGCCAAAGUUUCCAUUUUGCCGGAUGACCUUCCUGAAUUGGAGGAAGGAUUUAUUGUCACUAUCACUGAGGUGAACCUGGUGAACUCUGACUUCUCUACAGGACAGCCAAGUGUGCGGAGGCCUGGAAUGGAAAUAGCUGAGAUAAUGAUAGAAGAAAAUGACGAUCCCAGAGGAAUUUUUAUGUUUCAUGUUACUAGAGGCGCUGGGGAAGUUAUUACUGCCUAUGAGGUGCCUCCACCCUUGAACGUUCUUCAAGUUCCUGUAGUCCGGCUGGCUGGAAGCUUUGGGGCAGUAAAUGUUUAUUGGAAAGCAUCACCAGACAGUGCUGGCCUGGAAGACUUUAAACCAUCUCAUGGGAUUCUUGAAUUUGCAGAUAAACAGGUUACUGCAAUGAUAGAAAUCGCCGUAAUUGAUGAUGCUGAAUUUGAAUUGACAGAGACGUUCAAUAUUUCCUUGAUCAGUGUUGCUGGAGGUGGCAGACUUGGUGAUGAUGUUGUGGUAACUGUUGUUAUUCCACAAAAUGAUUCUCCAUUUGGAGUAUUUGGAUUUGAAGAAAAGACUGUAAGUUAAACAUAUCAGGGGAAAGCCUUGUUUCAGGCUAGCGUUUCAUGUAAUUUUGAGUAGAAAGUGUCUUACAUUUUUGUUUUGGAAGUCUUGGCCAGGGAUGGUGGCUCAUGCCAGUAAUCCCAGCACUUUGGGAGGCCGCAGCGGGCAGAUCACGAGGUCAGGAGAUUGACACCAUCCUGGCCAAUAUGGUUGAAUCGCCGUCUCUACUGAAAGUACAAAAAUUAGCUGGGCGUGGUGGCACAUGCCUGUAUUCCCAGAUACUUGGGAGUCUGAGGCGGGAGACUCGCUUGAACCCAGGAGGCAGAGGUUGCAGUGAGCUGAGAUCACGCCAUUGCACUCCAGCCUGGCGACAUAGAGAGACUCCAUCUCAAAAAAAAAAAAAA
RNAcentral lists this small RNA (5206 nucleotides) under Pan troglodytes (chimpanzee). Its description in RNAcentral is "retained intron". Lineage: Eukaryota; Metazoa; Chordata; Mammalia; Primates; Hominidae. The record is from RNAcentral.